CUACGCCUCGUUCUCUUCUGCGGUGUACGCCGCACUGCUGCUGGCGGCCGUGGCUCGCGAGGCCUGUGUGCUUGGGGGGCUGGCGGCAGCAGGCGGCGGCCCAUCCUCCGCCCGUUGUUGGUCCUGCAUAGCUCUGACUGCCCCAGGCGUUGCAUCUUUUCGCUCUCCCGAAGGUUGUAGAGAGCUCAAGAAAACCUUCUGACGGCUGAGAGCACUUCCCGCGCUGAAACCCCCCUUUUUUUUUUAUUUUCGAAGCACGUUGUCUAAGGGGGUGUCUGCGGAGCCGGGUGGAGGUUGAGGGUGGACACGGAGUCUGGGGUCCGCCCUCUGUCGUAGGCCCCGCCUCCACCGCCUCGGUGCCCGUCACCUCCGGGACCCCCUUGGUGAUGGCGACACACAGUUAAUGGUGAACCUCCGCCGGAAAGAAACUCCCAGAGUUGUCGUGCCUUUGAGCUGUGAGAGUGUGUUGAAGAUCAGUGACUACAGAGGCUAGUGACUUCAUUCUUGUAGAACCAGAUGGUCUCAGCAAUUUACAGAACGCUCCCUCCUUUCCCUCCUUCCACCUGUCAUCUUUGCUUCUGAAUAAGAACCAUUUGUGUAACACCAAUACUUACCUUAAGAAAGACAUGCAUUAUGUGGUUGUAAUCAAACCUGAUGCUUUCAGAUGACCUACUUACAUCUUCAACGUGGAAAAGAUUAAGAACAAAACAAAUUCAUCUAAACUUCUGGGCAAUCCAGUUGACUUUUAAAUGUAAGGAUGGAAUUACAAGCACUUAACACAUUCAGCU
Molecule: long non-coding RNA, 788 nt
Organism: Balaenoptera ricei (Rice's whale)
Lineage: Eukaryota; Metazoa; Chordata; Mammalia; Artiodactyla; Balaenopteridae
Exons: 3
Source: RefSeq, a predicted model, not a curated record